GCGGUCUUCCUAAGCGAAGGCGGGUGAACUGGGGUGCUGGAGUGCUAUCUGCGGGUAUUUCAGCUCCUUCCGCCGCUGUUGAGAAAGUUAAGGACUUCGAAUUAAAUAAGCAACAGUUCAUCUAGUCCUUCCAUACUGUUAGUGGGCAUGCCCGUGCUGGGUAAGCAGGCCCAGCUUCACGGAGCCGAAAGUGGACCCAGGAAUUCCAAGCGGUGUACUGCGAGCCACACCCCUGAGUCUUGUCCGUCUGCUCCCGGAGACCCGCUUUCCUACAUCUAGAAAAAGCAGGGAUCGAUGGCGAGCCAAAGACACCCCCUGCCUCAAGGACCCAGCAUUACUGAGGCUAGCACUGCAAGGAAAAAAUAUGAGAAGCUGGUGGGGACAGCAUCGCUGUGGCUACAGAGUGUCACUCACACUGUCUGGGUCAGAUUAUGGUUCACCCUACUCCAGGGCGGGAAGGACGGUCAGUCUUCAGAAAGUCAGCCUUUGAUUUCAAAAGACCACAGGCUAGAGGGAAGGCAAGCCACCAUGGCAGCCUGGAUGCAGAAGCUGUCCUGGAAUUCAUUAUGUAGUUCACCCACAGUGAUCCUCCUGCUUCAGCCUCCCACAUGCUAGGAUUACAGGCCAGCCCAGAGGCAAGGACAUGGCUCCUUUUGGAACCUAUUUCACAAGUCCCGAGGAGUAUCGACCUUUAACAGCUAGGAAUCCUUCUGUGGUCCGGCUUGAGGUGUGUCAAGAUGGAACAGAGCAAAUACCAUAAACCAACAGACUUUGCAAAUACACUGGAAGGUACAUCACUAGGCAGAUUGCAGCAAAGCAGUGGGAACCCUCUGCUGUAGACCUGAUGCUGCCUGGCCAUACUCUUAGCAUUUUGCUUAAAAGCUGGGGAUCUGUUUGUACACAUCAAAGUAUUUAACUAAUAGUAUCAAGGCUAUGGCCACAUACAGAGGAGGUGAGUAAAUGACCACGGGAGGGGACUAAAGGUAUCCCCAAAUAAGUGGGCUUUGAACUUCCAACCUCUUCACAUCACUGAGGCUCUGAUCCUCCAGUUAGCCAUUGUAGUCUCCUCUUCUUUCCAGGAAUUUUUCUUCCAAGUUCCAAGAUCCCCAGUGGAUGCAGGAAAUAGCAGACAUUGUCAAACACUCUAGAACCCAUGUUUUGUUUUGCUGGACUAGGUGUGGUGGGAGGGGAAGGGAAGAAGAAAACAGGGGAGAGGACAAAUAAAGGAAACGGGAGGAGAAAUGAAUGGAUGAGGCCUUGAGCAUCUUCCUGGACAGAUUGUGUAUCCAUUUUUAUUUCCGUGUAUUUAAGGGGGAACAUGAACAUACUGGAGGUCAGAGGACAACUUG
RNAcentral lists this long non-coding RNA (1349 nucleotides) under Mus pahari (shrew mouse). Its description in RNAcentral is "lncRNA (MGP_PahariEiJ_G0004423.1)". The record is from RNAcentral. Lineage: Eukaryota; Metazoa; Chordata; Mammalia; Rodentia; Muridae.